Molecule: ribosomal RNA, 216 nt
Filed under: uncultured fungus
Lineage: Eukaryota; Fungi
Description: partial small subunit ribosomal RNA
Rfam family: Eukaryotic small subunit ribosomal RNA (bases 92-216)
Source: RNAcentral
GGCCUGGCCGGGCGGUCCGCCUCACGGCGCUGUACUGUCUGGCCGAGCCUUACCUCUUGGUGAGCCGGCGUGCCCUUCGCUGGGUGCGUCGGGGAACCAGGACUUUUACCUUGAGAAAAUUAGAGUGUUCAAAGCAGGCCAUCGCCCGAAUACAUUAGCAUGGAAUAAUGGAAUAGGACGUGCGGUUCUAUUUUGUUGGUUUCUAGAGUCGCCGUA